Molecule: unclassified non-coding RNA, 2896 nt
Filed under: Leishmania donovani
Lineage: Eukaryota; Euglenozoa; Kinetoplastea; Trypanosomatida; Trypanosomatidae
Description: gene:LdHU3.34.4170(CDS-product:GPI_transamidase_s ubunit_16_putative)
Source: RNAcentral
GCGAGAGUAGUCGCGGUACAACCAGCGGAAAGGAGGAGGAAACAGCCACAGAGAAGAAACCUCAAAAACCGCUACCAAAACGACGCACGCCGCCAAGCCUGCCCUCUUCUUGUCUGUGAGACGGCGCUUCUUCGAAGCUCAUGACAUUACUCUGAAGACGUCUACCUGUUUUCACUGUUUAUCCAGUUGUACGAAAAAAAAAAAACAGGUGCGCCGAGUGCUCUCUACAUAGCGUACGGCGACAUGCAUCUUUUGGAGCGGCGGCCGAGCGCUUCGGGUGUGCUACUUGCCUUUGCCGUUGUCGUGCUCACAUGGGUGGCGGCGGCAGUGACGGCUCCCUCGCACCCCUAUGCAGCUAAUACGUCGCGCCGGUACUCAAUGAUGGUCGAAGAACUGACGGGCAGUCUCGAUGAGAGAGGCACCACCCCUACUCUGGUGUCCGUGGCAAUGGAGAUGUCUCUGACGCUGCCGGCGAAGCCUGGCGCCGCCGCGGUGUGGGAGGGCGACGCCGAGGCGAACGAAAUCGACGACGCCGCAGUCCAGCACUUGACUUUUGACGAUGACUUUGACCCAAUAUGGUACUACGUGCUGCGUCGCCGCGGCUUCGAGCGCCUUGAAUGGUGCGGGUGCGGCGGCAAGUGGCGGCCCGAGUGGUCCAUACCGAAGGCACACCAGCGCCGCGGCGGCGACGCGGCGGCACUGUCAGCCGAGCAUGAGAGUAACAGCGUUUUGUUUGGCCGUCUGCGGCGCCUUCUCGCUCACCACGCCGUUUGCACCUACUCGUCUGUCUCCUUCUGCGGCGCCAGUCACGAACGGGGCGCGGCGAGCCAGUUUCAGUGGGCCGCUCAGUUUGUGUCGACUCUGACCUCGUCGCCACUGAGCUGGACCGAAGCGACGCCCCGGCACUCGCGACCAAACGGGAUCGUCAUUCAACGCGACUCCUCACACGCUAGCGGCGGCGAGGAUGCGUACUGGUGCUCGUACCACCUCGUCUACCACGACACUCUAUGCACGCAACACGUGAGCCCUCUGCUCAACGGCGGCCGCUCCGGCCGCGGCGUGCAGGAGGGGCUGCCUCGAGGCAUCUUCAAGGCAGCGUUCCCAUCAUUCGUCAAGUACUUUGGCGCCCCGUUUCAGCAUUUCACCGUGAAGGCGACUCAAGAGCGUCUCCCUGGGAACAGCGCGGCUGCGCAGCCGCCGACGGUGCGACUGAAGGUCGAGGUUCGCAUGAGCAUGGUGGUAGGUGAGGCGUCGGACUUGGAGGCGCUGAGCGAGGUGUGGUCGCGCGAACUGCCUGCCUACGCGCGGGAUGGCCGCCUUCAGGUGCACAUCGGCCCUGGCGGGCUCUCUCAACACCUGCGCAGUGCGCUACCAACCGCGGCGAUAGUUUCGUCCCCGAACGAGGGGCAGGCGAAAGCGACGCCGCAGCGGCAGGCGUCGGCCUCCGCGAGUCCGUUGUCUCGGAUUGGCUGCUCCCCAGAGGUGCAGUACGAGGUGCGUACCCACGGCAAGGAUCACGGCUAUUUGACCGUGAAUCUACAGCCGGCUCUAGUCUUACUUGACGUCCACGCUGGGGUAGACGCUGAGAAGCGCGAGGGCUCGGACGGUGCCGACGAGGAGUCGGCGCUGCAGCACUCGUUCCUCCUCCGCGAGGGCGACGUGGUCCGCACCCUUCUGCUUUUUCCUCUGCAUCUUGUGCGCCCUUCCCUGUACAACAUGGAGUCUCUACUCGGCACCACGCGCAUUGUCCACGCUCACGCGGACGUCGUCUCCAACACGCUAGCAGUUCUCCUCGAGACGACCGUAACGCCGGUGCACGUCGCCGCCUACGAGGCCGCGUACGCGCAUGCCCGACACUGCCACGAGAUGGCCGGCGGCGGCGGCACCGGUGGCCGAGCCUGUCGCGCUCACGACGGUGUCCUGCUCGGCCGAUUCCAGCUUUUCUUCGGCUGGUCGGCGCUGGGGGAUAUGCCGCCAGACGACAACAGCAACCGACUUGUGCCGCAGCCUGUUGUGGUAAUUCGCCGCGCGGGGACCUCGGUGGACCUCGGCGCGGCGGAGACGUCAUCCCAGUCGGAUUUCUGUCACGCUCAGCGUCGCCACGUCGCUUCGGUCGGCUCUAUACCCCAGCUCGAUCACGAAGACAGCCUCGCCGCCGUCUUUCAGCUGCUCAGCCGCAGCCACGGGUGGCGGGACGACAAAAAGGGGUCCCUGUCUGCCGCGCUGGCGAAUCUCAAGGAGGAUGACGCAUGCAUUUACUGGGUGCGAUCCACCGUGUCGAGCGGGACGACGAUCCCAGGCCCUGAUGGCGCCAUGAUCUUUAAUGUGCUCUCGCUUGGGCUUUUUUUCUUGGCUGUUGCUGCAGGCAUGCUAACGCGACUGACAAGGCGCUUGACGUGCAAGAGAGAAGAUCUCGUAAAUUUACUCCCGCAGGAAGGCGCCACCACCGUCGUCAAGUGAUUCCUCUUUCCAGGACCUCCCACCCUCUCUCUCCUCACCGUCCCAGCAUGUGAAGACGGUACGAGAUCUGCACGCUUCAUCUUUUUUUUUGUUCGGCUUUUCUACGGGUCCGCGAGCCGACUAUGCACCGGUGGCUUCGUUUCGCUCCUGCGGUGCCUCGGUUUGUGGGACCGACAGGGACUGGUUGGGGGCACACGGACGCACUCUGGAGAAUGUGAGCGCCACAGUGCAAUGCGUCGCUGACGAAUAGUACCUGGUGGAGGUGUUUGUAUGUGUACAUGUGUGUGUGUGCGCGCGUGCGUCGGUGCCGUUUCGUGGUGUUCUUGCUGCUGCGUUUAUGUGGUUACUCCAAUCACACCCGCCCGUCGCUCCCGCUCACCUCCCCAUUUUUUUUUUUCGUUCCGCCCGCGUUGUUGCCCAUGUAAUCGAAGGCGCC